UGACCCCUGCCCUGCUCGUGGAGGCCUGUUACUUUUGAGCCAACACUCAGCGAACGGGAUUCCAGCCGAGGGUACGGUGAGCAUGUUCGCGUCAAGCGAAAAGCCUGAAGUGCCCCGCAGGAGGCCCACCUGGUCGAGCAGGUUCAAAAGCUGAACUUGACCACGGCAAAGGGCGGGGGUUUU
This 183-nucleotide non-coding RNA is filed under the name bacterium. RNAcentral's name for it is "6S RNA". It matches the Rfam family "6S / SsrS RNA". From Rfam's summary of the family: E. coli 6S RNA was the first non coding RNA to be sequenced, but its function was unknown until recently. It consists of 184 nucleotides that fold into an extended hairpin structure with a large single-stranded internal bulge. The 6S RNA specifically associates with RNA polymerase holoenzyme containing the sigma70 specificity factor. The record is from RNAcentral.